RNAcentral lists this ribosomal RNA (454 nucleotides) under Gemella morbillorum. RNAcentral describes it as "bacterial SSU rRNA". It matches the Rfam family "Bacterial small subunit ribosomal RNA", at positions 28 to 470 of the family's 1533-position model. Lineage: Bacteria; Bacillati; Bacillota; Bacilli; Caryophanales; Gemellaceae. The record is from RNAcentral.
GACGAACGCGGCGGCGUGCCUAAUACAUGCAAGUCGAGCGAAGUUUUUCUGGUGCUUGCACUAGAAAAACUUAGCGGCGAACGGGUGAGUAACACGUAAAGAACCUGUCUCAUAGACUGGGACAACUAUUGGAAACGAUAGCUAAUACCGGAUAACAGUAUUUCUCGCAUGGGAGAUAUUUAAAAGUUGGUUAUGCUAACACUAUGAGAUGGCUUUGCGGUGCAUUAGCUAGUUGGUGGGGUAAAGGCCCACCAAGGCGACGAUGCAUAGCCGACCUGAGAGGAUGAUCGGCCACACUGGGACUGAGACACGGCCCAGACUCCUACGGGAGGCAGCAGUAGGGAAUCUUCCGCAAUGGGCGAAAGCCUGACGGAGCAACGCCGCGUGAGUGAAGAAGGAUUUCGGUUCGUAAAGCUCUGUUGUUAGGGAAGAAAGGAUAUGUAGUAACUAUACA